Molecule: ribosomal RNA, 589 nt
Filed under: uncultured bacterium
Lineage: Bacteria
Description: partial 16S ribosomal RNA
Rfam family: Bacterial small subunit ribosomal RNA
Source: RNAcentral
UGGGGAAUUUUGGACAAUGGGCGAAAGCCUGAAUCCCAGCAAUGCCGCGUGUGUGAAGAAGGCCUUCGGGUUGUAAAGCACUUUUGUCCGGAAAGAAAUCCUUGGCUCUAAUACAGUCGGGGGAUGACGGUACCGGAAGAAUAAGCACCGGCUAACUACGUGCCAGCAGCCGCGGUAAUACGUAGGGUGCAAGCGUUAAUCGGAAUUACUGGGCGUAAAGCGUGCGCAGGCGGUUUGCUAAGACCGAUGUGAAAUCCCCGGGCUCAACCUGGGACUGCAUUGGUGACUGGCAGGCUAGAGUAUGGCAGAGGGGGGUAGAAUUCCACGUGUAGCAGUGAAAUGCGUAGAGAUGUGGAGGAAUACCGAUGGCGAAGGCAGCCCCCUGGGCCAAUACUGACGCUCAUGCACGAAAAGCGUGGGGGAGCAAAACAGGAUUAGAUACCCCUGGUAGUCCCACGCCCCUAAACGAUGUCAACUAGUUGUUGGGGAUUCAUUUCCUUAGUAACGUACUAACGCGUGAAGUUGACCGCCUGGGGGAGUACGGUCGCAAGAUUAAAACUCAAAUGAAUUGACGGGGUCAUAGCUGUUU